GCUGAGGAGUCCCAUAAUAGGACGAAACGACCGUCC
Schistosoma rodhaini is the source of this 36-nucleotide non-coding RNA. The record is from Rfam. Lineage: Eukaryota; Metazoa; Platyhelminthes; Trematoda; Strigeidida; Schistosomatidae.